Molecule: ribosomal RNA, 494 nt
Filed under: uncultured bacterium
Lineage: Bacteria
Description: partial 16S ribosomal RNA
Rfam family: Bacterial small subunit ribosomal RNA
Source: RNAcentral
GACGAACGCUGGCGGCGCGCUUAACACAUGCAAGUCGAACGGAAAGGCCUGCUUUCCCUUGUGGAUUGCGGGUACUCGAGUGGCGAACGGGUGAGUAACACGUGAGUGAUCUGCCCCCAACUUGGGUAUAAGCCUGGGAAACUGGGUCUAAUUCCCGAUAGGACUGCAGGGUGGUGCCUGUGGUGGAAAACGAUUUUCUAGUGGUUGGGGAUGAGCUCGCGGCCUAUCAGCUUGUUGGUGGGGUAAUGGCCUACCAAGGCGGCGACGGGUAGCCGGCCUGAGAGGGUGGACGGCCACAGUGGGACUGGGAUACGGCCCAGACUCCUGCGGGAGGCAGCAGUGGGGAAUAUUGCACAAUGGGCGGAAGCCUGAUGCAGCGACGCCGCGUGGGGGAUGACGGCCUUCGGGUUGUAAACUCCUUUCGACCGCGAGGAAGCCACCUGGUUGGAAGGGUGGUGACGGUAGUGGUAGAAGAAGCACCGGCUAACUACGUG